UUAAGUUAUUAAGGGCGCACGGUGGAUGCCUUGGCACUAGAAGCCGAUGAAGGACGUUACUAACGACGAUAUGCUUUGGGGAGCUGUAAGUAAGCUUUGAUCCAGAGAUUUCCGAAUGGGGAAACCCAGCAUGAGUUAUGUCAUGUUAUCGAUAUGUGAAUACAUAGCAUAUCAGAAGGCACACCCGGAGAACUGAAACAUCUUAGUACCCGGAGGAAGAGAAAGAAAAUUCGAUUCCCUUAGUAGCGGCGAGCGAAACGGGAAGAGCCCAAACCAACAAGCUUGCUUGUUGGGGUUGUAGGACACUCUAUACGGAGUUACAAAGGACGACAUUAGACGAAUCAUCUGGAAAGAUGAAUCAAAGAAGGUAAUAAUCCUGUAGUCGAAAAUGUUGUCUCUCUUGAGUGGAUCCUGAGUACGACGGAGCACGUGAAAUUCCGUCGGAAUCUGGGAGGACCAUCUCCUAAGGCUAAAUACUCUCUAGUGACCGAUAGUGAACCAGUACCGUGAGGGAAAGGUGAAAAGCACCCCGGAAGGGGAGUGAAAUAGAACCUGAAACCGUGUGCUUACAAGUAGUCAGAGCCCGUUAAUGGGUGAUGGCGUGCCUUUUGUAGAAUGAACCGGCGAGUUACGAUUUGAUGCAAGGUUAAGCAGUAAAUGUGGAGCCGUAGCGAAAGCGAGUCUGAAUAGGGCGUUUAGUAUUUGGUCGUAGACCCGAAACCAGGUGAUCUACCCUUGGUCAGGUUGAAGUUCAGGUAACACUGAAUGGAGGACCGAACCGACUUACGUUGAAAAGUGAGCGGAUGAACUGAGGGUAGCGGAGAAAUUCCAAUCGAACCUGGAGAUAGCUGGUUCUCUCCGAAAUAGCUUUAGGGCUAGCCUCAAGUGAUGAUUAUUGGAGGUAGAGCACUGUUUGGACGAGGGGCCCCUCUCGGGUUACCGAAUUCAGACAAACUCCGAAUGCCAAUUAAUUUAACUUGGGAGUCAGAACAUGGGUGAUAAGGUCCGUGUUCGAAAGGGAAACAGCCCAGAUCACCAGCUAAGGUCCCAAAAUAUAUGUUAAGUGGAAAAGGAUGUGGCGUUGCCCAGACAACUAGGAUGUUGGCUUAGAAGCAGCCAUCAUUUAAAGAGUGCGUAAUAGCUCACUAGUCGAGUGACACUGCGCCGAAAAUGUACCGGGGCUAAACAUAUUACCGAAGCUGUGGAUUGUCCUUUGGACAAUGGUAGGAGAGCGUUCUAAGGGCGUUGAAGCAUGAUCGUAAGGACAUGUGGAGCGCUUAGAAGUGAGAAUGCCGGUGUGAGUAGCGAAAGACGGGUGAGAAUCCCGUCCACCGAUUGACUAAGGUUUCCAGAGGAAGGCUCGUCCGCUCUGGGUUAGUCGGGUCCUAAGCUGAGGCCGACAGGCGUAGGCGAUGGAUAACAGGUUGAUAUUCCUGUACCACCUAUAAUCGUUUUAAUCGAUGGGGGGACGCAGUAGGAUAGGCGAAGCGUGCGAUUGGAUUGCACGUCUAAGCAGUAAGGCUGAGUAUUAGGCAAAUCCGGUACUCGUUAAGGCUGAGCUGUGAUGGGGAGAAGACAUUGAGUCUUCGAGUCGUUGAUUUCACACUGCCGAGAAAAGCCUCUAGAUAGAAAAUAGGUGCCCGUACCGCAAACCGACACAGGUAGUCAAGAUGAGAAUUCUAAGGUGAGCGAGCGAACUCUCGUUAAGGAACUCGGCAAAAUGACCCCGUAACUUCGGGAGAAGGGGUGCUCUUUAGGGUUAACGCCCAGAAGAGCCGCAGUGAAUAGGCCCAAGCGACUGUUUAUCAAAAACACAGGUCUCUGCUAAACCGUAAGGUGAUGUAUAGGGGCUGACGCCUGCCCGGUGCUGGAAGGUUAAGAGGAGUGGUUAGCUUCUGCGAAGCUACGAAUCGAAGCCCCAGUAAACGGCGGCCGUAACUAUAACGGUCCUAAGGUAGCGAAAUUCCUUGUCGGGUAAGUUCCGACCCGCACGAAAGGCGUAACGAUUUGGGCACUGUCUCAACGAGAGACUCGGUGAAAUCAUAGUACCUGUGAAGAUGCAGGUUACCCGCGACAGGACGGAAAGACCCCGUGGAGCUUUACUGUAGCCUGAUAUUGAAAUUCGGCACAGCUUGUACAGGAUAGGUAGGAGCCUUUGAAACGUGAGCGCUAGCUUACGUGGAGGCGCUGGUGGGAUACUACCCUAGCUGUGUUGGCUUUCUAACCCGCACCACUUAUCGUGGUGGGAGACAGUGUCAGGCGGGCAGUUUGACUGGGGCGGUCGCCUCCUAAAAGGUAACGGAGGCGCUCAAAGGUUCCCUCAGAAUGGUUGGAAAUCAUUCAUAGAGUGUAAAGGCAUAAGGGAGCUUGACUGCGAGACCUACAAGUCGAGCAGGGUCGAAAGACGGACUUAGUGAUCCGGUGGUUCCGCAUGGAAGGGCCAUCGCUCAACGGAUAAAAGCUACCCCGGGGAUAACAGGCUUAUCUCCCCCAAGAGUUCACAUCGACGGGGAGGUUUGGCACCUCGAUGUCGGCUCAUCGCAUCCUGGGGCUGUAGUCGGUCCCAAGGGUUGGGCUGUUCGCCCAUUAAAGCGGUACGCGAGCUGGGUUCAGAACGUCGUGAGACAGUUCGGUCCCUAUCCGUCGUGGGCGUAGGAAAUUUGAGAGGAGCUGUCCUUAGUACGAGAGGACCGGGAUGGACAUACCUCUGGUGUACCAGUUGUCGUGCCAACGGCAUAGCUGGGUAGCUAUGUGUGGACGGGAUAAGUGCUGAAAGCAUCUAAGCAUGAAGCCCCCCUCAAGAUGAGAUUUCCCAACUUCGGUUAUAAGAUCCCUCAAAGAUGAUGAGGUUAAUAGGUUCGAGGUGGAAGCAUGGUGACAUGUGGAGCUGACGAAUACUAAUCGAUCGAAGACUUAAUCAA
Molecule: ribosomal RNA, 2921 nt
Filed under: Staphylococcus aureus
Lineage: Bacteria; Bacillati; Bacillota; Bacilli; Caryophanales; Staphylococcaceae
Description: bacterial LSU rRNA
Rfam family: Bacterial large subunit ribosomal RNA
Source: RNAcentral